AACGUAGGAGACAAACGUUAUCCGGAUUUACUGGGCGUAAAGGGCGUGUAGGCGGUUUCGUAAGUCUGGCGUGAAAUAUCUCGGCUUAACCGAGGCAGGUCGUCGGAUACUGCGGGACUAGAGGACGGUAGAGGCGUGUGGAAUUCCGGGUGUAGUGGUGAAAUGCGUAGAGAUCCGGAGGAACACCAGUGGCGAAGGCGACACGCUGGGCCGUACCUGACACUGAUGCGCGACAGCAUGGGGAGCAAACAGG
This 253-nucleotide ribosomal RNA is filed under the name uncultured bacterium. RNAcentral's name for it is "partial 16S ribosomal RNA". It matches the Rfam family "Bacterial small subunit ribosomal RNA", at positions 524 to 776 of the family's 1533-position model. The record is from RNAcentral.